GUGUUUGAUCGCGCUCCAGAAAUAGGCAGUGGGGUAACACAAGUAUAAAAAGGACUGCAAUUCUGAGAAACCUUGGACAUUGCUGAGCAAGGGCUCAUUGCAUAGCUUCAUGGACAUUAAAACGCCAUCUCUCUCGAGCAGGAAUCUCACAAAUCGUAAAUAUGACAAGCAAAAAAAAAAAAAAAAAAGCAAGACCAAACUCAUUUGUCUGACGGCGCUGUUGAGCCAUUUUACGCUUUCUGUCUU
Long non-coding RNA from Ictalurus furcatus (blue catfish), 246 nucleotides. RefSeq lists it as uncharacterized. NCBI's taxonomy places the organism in Eukaryota, Metazoa, Chordata, Actinopteri, Siluriformes, Ictaluridae. The transcript has 3 exons. The record is from RefSeq and is a predicted model, not a curated record.